This 446-nucleotide ribosomal RNA is filed under the name uncultured bacterium. Its description in RNAcentral is "partial 16S ribosomal RNA". It matches the Rfam family "Bacterial small subunit ribosomal RNA", at positions 338 to 795 of the family's 1533-position model. The record is from RNAcentral.
CCUACGGGAGGCAGCAGUCGAGAAUCAUUCACAAUGGGGGAAACCCUGAUGGUGCGACGCCGCGUGGGGGAAUGAAGGUCUUCGGAUUGUAAACCCCUGUCAUGUGGGAGCAAAUUAAAAAGCUAGUACCACAAGCGGAAGCGACGGCUAACUCUGUGCCAGCAGCCGCGGUAAUACAGAGGGCUCAAGCGUUGUUCGGAAUCACUGGGCGUAAGGCGUGCGUAGGCUGUUUCGUAAGUCGUGUGUGAAAGGCGCGGGCUCAACCCGCGGACGGCACAUGAUACUGCGAGACUAGAGUAAUGGAGGGGGAACCGGAAUUCUCGGUGUAGCAGUGAAAUGCGUAGAUAUCGAGAGGAACACUCGUGGCGAAGGCGGGUUCCUGGACAUUAACUGACGCUGAGGCACGAAGGCCAUGGGAGCGAAAGGGAUUAGAUACCCCUGUAGUC